This 393-nucleotide ribosomal RNA is filed under the name uncultured bacterium. Its description in RNAcentral is "partial 16S ribosomal RNA". It matches the Rfam family "Bacterial small subunit ribosomal RNA", at positions 523 to 918 of the family's 1533-position model. The record is from RNAcentral.
AUACGGAGGAUGCAAGCGUUAUCCGGAUUUAUUGGGUUUAAAGGGUGCGUAGGCGGUUUGAUAAGCGGGAGGUGAAAUGCCGGCGCUCAACGUCGGAAGUGCCUCCCGAACUGGUGGACUGGAAUGACUCUGCCGUGGGCGGAAUGUGUAGUGUAGAGGUGAAAUGCUUAGAGAUUACACAGAACACCGAUUGCGAAGGCAUCUCACGAAGGGUUGAUUGACGCUGAGGCACGAAAGCGUGGGGAUCAAACAGGAUCAGAUACCCUGGUAGUCCACGCAGUAAACGAUGAUGGCUAACCGCUGGUUUUUUCGGAUCAGUGGCCAAGCGAAAGCGAUAAGCCAUCCACCUGGGGAGUACGACCGCAAGGUUGAAACUCAAAUGAAUUGGCGGGG